GUGGCAGCAGCCGCGGUAAAACCAGCACCUCAAGUGGUCAGGAGGAUUAUUGGGCCUAAAGCAUCCGUAGCCGGCUCUGUAAGUUUUCGGUUAAAUCCAUGUGCUCAACACAUGGGCUGCCGAAAAUACUGCAUAGCUAGGGAGUGGGAGAGGUAGACGGUACUCGGUAGGAAGGGGUAAAAUCCUUNGAUCUAUCGAUGACCACCUGUGGCGAAGGCGGUCUACCAGAACACGUUCGACGGUGAGGGAUGAAAGCUGGGGGAGCAAACCGGAUUAGAUACCCGGGUAGUCCCAGCUGUAAACGAUGCAGACUCGAUGAUGCAUUGGCAUAUAGCCAGUGCAGUGUCGCAGGGAAGCCGUUAAGUCUGCCGCCUGGGAAGUACGUACGCAAGUAUGAAACUUAAAGGAAUUGGCGGGGGAGCACCACAAGGGGUGAAGCCUGCGGUUCAAUUGGAGUCAACGCCAGAAAUCUUACCCGGAGAGACAGCAGAAUGAAGGUCAAGCUGAAGACUUUACCAGACAAGCUGAGAGGUGGUGCAUGGCCGUCGCCAGCUCGUGCCGUGAGAUGUCCUGUUAAGUCAGGUAACGAGCGAGAUCCUCGCCACUAGUUGCUAUCAUUAUUCUCAGGAAUAGUGGGGCGAAUUAGUGGGACUGCCGUUGUUAAAACGGAGGAAGGAGGGGGCUACGGCAGGUCAGUAUGCCCCGAAACUCUGGGSCCACACGCGGGCUGCAAUGGUAGGGACAAUGAGCUCCAAACUCGAAAGAGAGUGGCAAUCUCUAAACGCUACCACAGUUAUGACUGAGGGCUGUAACUCGCCCUCACGAAUAUGGAAUCCCUAGUAACCGCGUGUCAUUACCGCGCGGUGAAUACGUCCCUGCUCCUUGCACACACCGCCCGUC
This 900-nucleotide ribosomal RNA is filed under the name uncultured archaeon. RNAcentral describes it as "bacterial SSU rRNA". It matches the Rfam family "Archaeal small subunit ribosomal RNA", at positions 455 to 1353 of the family's 1478-position model. The record is from RNAcentral.